Long non-coding RNA from Mustela erminea (ermine), 381 nucleotides. RefSeq lists it as uncharacterized. The transcript has 3 exons. Lineage: Eukaryota; Metazoa; Chordata; Mammalia; Carnivora; Mustelidae. The record is from RefSeq and is a predicted model, not a curated record.
UACUGACAUGCAAGUGUCUCUCCAGGGCUGGGCUGGAAUUUCAAGCGUGCAGCGCCCCCCCCCCCCCCCCAAUUCUUGGGAAGGCACAAGGUGGACAGCUUCCCUCGAUGGAGGUAACUGGAUACUGACUCUAUGGGAGAGCAGCGCUGGAAAGAGCAUGCUCAGAGUCUUCCUUAUGGCCCCAGUUGCCACCUCCCUCUAGUGACCCUCAGCCCUUUGGAACCAGCCGGCACUCUCUCCCACCUUGGCACCUACUACCGUCGGUUGGGCAGGCACUUCGGAGGGCACAAAAAUGAGUGAGAUGCUGUUCCAUCCUGCAAGGGGGUGACCAGGACUUAAAUUCUUACAAGGCCACUGUGUCAAAGCGGGUGUUGGCACAAG